Molecule: ribosomal RNA, 443 nt
Filed under: uncultured bacterium
Lineage: Bacteria
Description: partial 16S ribosomal RNA
Rfam family: Bacterial small subunit ribosomal RNA
Source: RNAcentral
GAUGAACGCUGGCGGCAUGCCUAACACAUGCAAGUCGAUCGGUAAGGCUCUUCGGAGUACCCGAGAGGCGGACGGCUGAGUAACGCGUAGGAACACACCCUGCAGUGAGGGAUAAGACACCGAAAGGUGUUCUAAUACCGCAUACGGUCUUCGGAUUAAAGCAUUUAUGCGCUGAAGGAGUGGCCUGCGUCAUAUUAGAUAGUUGGUGAGGUAAUGGCUCACCAAGUCGAUGAUGUGUAGCUGGUCUGAGAGGAUGAUCAGCCAGACUGGAACUGAGACACGGUCCAGACUCCUACGGGGGGCAGCAGUGAGGAAUAUUUCACAAUGAGCGAAAGCUUGAUGGAGCAAUGCCGCGUGCAGGAUGAAGGCCCUCGGGUUGUAAACUGCUUUUAUAAGAGAAGAUUAUGACGGUAACUUAUGAAUAAGGGACGGCUAACUACGUG